UACGAAGGGGGGCUAGCGUUGUUCGGAUUUACUGGGCGUAAAGCGACGUAGGCGGAUUGUUAAGUCAGGGGUGAAAUCCCAGAGCUCAACUCUGGAACUGCCUUUGAUACUGGGUAUCUUGAGUAUGGAAGAGGUAAGUGGAAUUGCGAGUGUAGAGGUGAAAUUCGUAGAUAUUCGCAGGAACACCAGUGGCGAAGGCGGCUUACUGGUCCAUUACUGACGCUGAGGUGCGAAAGCGUGGGAGCAAACAGG
RNAcentral lists this ribosomal RNA (252 nucleotides) under uncultured bacterium. RNAcentral describes it as "partial 16S ribosomal RNA". It matches the Rfam family "Bacterial small subunit ribosomal RNA", at positions 524 to 776 of the family's 1533-position model. The record is from RNAcentral.